Molecule: non-coding RNA, 76 nt
Organism: Myotis brandtii (Brandt's bat)
Lineage: Eukaryota; Metazoa; Chordata; Mammalia; Chiroptera; Vespertilionidae
Source: Rfam
GGCAGUUCUUGGGUGACGCACCCUGGAUCGAGCUACCCUUCUCUUUGGUUCCGGGGUGCUUCACCCGAGAACCACC